This 85-nucleotide transfer RNA is filed under the name Felis catus (domestic cat). It matches the Rfam family "tRNA". From Rfam's summary of the family: Transfer RNA (tRNA) molecules are approximately 80 nucleotides in length. Their secondary structure includes four short double-helical elements and three loops (D, anti-codon, and T loops). Further hydrogen bonds mediate the characteristic L-shaped molecular structure. tRNAs have two regions of fundamental functional importance: the anti-codon, which is responsible for specific mRNA codon recognition, and the 3' end, to which the tRNAs corresponding amino acid is attached (by aminoacyl-tRNA synthetases). tRNAs cope with the degeneracy of the genetic code in two manners: having more than one tRNA (with a specific anti-codon) for a particular amino acid; and 'wobble' base-pairing, i.e. permitting non-standard base-pairing at the 3rd anti-codon position. The record is from Rfam by way of RNAcentral. Lineage: Eukaryota; Metazoa; Chordata; Mammalia; Carnivora; Felidae.
GCCUGGGUGGUUCAGUCAGUUGAGUGUCUGACUUUGACUCAGGUCAUGAUCUUACGGUUUGUGGGUUUGAGCCCCACAUCAGGCU